UAGCGCCAGGGUCAAUAAUGGCCGACGAGGAUAGUAGUUAUCGAAAAUUCGGCGGAUGCUACUACGGUUUUAGUGUAGUCGUAAGAUAUAUUUAUAAAAAGUAAAAUCAAAAUUAUAACAAAGA
This 124-nucleotide non-coding RNA is filed under the name human gut metagenome. RNAcentral's name for it is "glmS glucosamine-6-phosphate activated ribozyme". It matches the Rfam family "glmS glucosamine-6-phosphate activated ribozyme aptamer", at positions 11 to 150 of the family's 167-position model. Rfam says of the family: This entry contains a glucosamine-6-phosphate activated ribozyme that is found in the mRNA for GlmS. The record is from RNAcentral.